RNAcentral lists this non-coding RNA (23 nucleotides) under Mus musculus (house mouse). The record is from RNAcentral. Lineage: Eukaryota; Metazoa; Chordata; Mammalia; Rodentia; Muridae.
ACUGCAGUGUGAGCACUUCUAGU